This 465-nucleotide ribosomal RNA is filed under the name uncultured bacterium. RNAcentral describes it as "partial 16S ribosomal RNA". It matches the Rfam family "Bacterial small subunit ribosomal RNA", at positions 28 to 507 of the family's 1533-position model. The record is from RNAcentral.
GACGAACGAGGGAGGCGUGCUUAACACAUGCAAGUCGAACGGAAAGGCCCUGCUUGCAGGGUACUCGAGUGGCGAACGGGUGAGUAACACGUGGGUGAUCUGCCCUGCACUUCGGGAUAAGCCGGGGAAACUGGGUCUACUACCGGAUAGGAGCCAUUUUUAGUGUGAUGGUUGGAAAGUUUUUUCGGUGUAGGAUGCGCUCGCGGCCUCUCAGCUUGUUGGUGGGGUAAUGGCCUACCAAGGCGGCGACGGGUAGCCGGCCUGAGAGGGUGGACGGCCACAUUGGGACUGAGAUACGGCCCAGACUCCUACGGGAGGCAGCAGUGGGGAAUAUUGCACAAUGGGCGCAAGCCUGAUGCAGCGACGCCGCGUGGGGGAUGACGGCCUUCGGGUUGUAAACUCCUUUCGCUAGGGACGAAGCUUUUUGUGACGGUACCUAGAUAAGAAGCACCGGCUAACUACGUG